AUUAGUCUCUGCCCGCAUUUUAGUUCCCACCCUUUAACUGCCCUCUGCUCAGUCAACCCUGCCCCACAACCACUUCCCUGGACCUGGCCCUCGCCCCUCACCUCGAGGCUACCCACCCAGGGAACCCUCUUGAACUCACCAAGCAAACUGGAAAUUCUGGCCCUCUGAGAACAGGUGUGCAGCUGUUGCCCAGCUGUUGCCCAGCCUCAGUGGCCAAAUGCAACAACGGCCACUCUCCGUAACUGUCAGAGUGACAGCGAGACCCAAAGCGGAAAUUUAAGGGUGGUUCAAGCUAAACCGGAAGUGGAAGUGCCUGUCGGUAUGAUGGGCAGAGCAACUGAGGAGCCCUUCAGCUGGUUUUAGAGUCAGCGAGAGGGUGCUGAGGCCUGAGUCUGGAGUCUUAAUGAGCGGUAGAAAUUGUUUUGCAUUCAGCAUUGGGUCUCUAAAUGAUGAGGUUGCAGAGUCUGGUGUCACCAUAAAAUCUGUCUCCAGCCAAAUGAGUUGACAGAUGACCAGAUGGAAACCAGCUCCUGGGAGGCAGAGCCAGGAGGAUCACAAGUUCAAACCCAGCCUAGGCAUCUUUGCCACACCUUGUCUCAAAACUCAAGGCAGGAAGAUCACAAGUUGAAGGCCAGCCUGGGAAACUUGGUGGCUCUCUGGAGCCCAGAGAGUCCAGCUCAAAGGCCCCAGCACAUACAAAGGCAUGGGGAAGGGGUCUCAGCAGAUUGAGGGAAGUGAGAUUCCAGGAGCUCACAGUCUGAGCAGGGAGAGGUUCACUGGAUAGUCGUGCACUAGACUUCGAAGCCAGGGGAUCCUUGGCUGAGCUAUGAUGUUUUCAAUGGUUUAGAACCUGGUGACCUUUGAGAACAUGGCUGUGGACUUCACCCAGAAGGAGUGGGCAUUGCUGGAAAUGUCCGAAAGAUCCCUGUACAGGGAGGUGACGCUGGAGAACUUCAAGAACCUGGCCUCGCUUGGUAUCUGAAGGUCUGAUCAUCACUCAGCAUAGGAAAAAGGGAUUUUUAGAUGCAUAUGAAUUACCAAAACUGAACCAAGAAGAUAAUAAAAUUUUAAAUAGUCCAGUAACAGGUGAUGAAACCGAGGCAGUCAUAAAAAUCCUACCAGCUAAGAAAAAUCCAGGACCUGAUGGAUUCAC
This 1153-nucleotide long non-coding RNA is filed under the name Heterocephalus glaber (naked mole-rat). RNAcentral's name for it is "lncRNA (ENSHGLG00100045586.1)". Lineage: Eukaryota; Metazoa; Chordata; Mammalia; Rodentia; Bathyergidae. The record is from RNAcentral.